AAGUAUAUGUGGACUCCUGUUGAUUCAAGGUUUUGCAAUUAGCCAUCUACCAUACAAUUACAAACCGCUCCCGAUUGCUGCUGCUGCAGGCAACACGUGAAGAUCUAUCGCAUGGCUUCCCAGGUUCGAACUCCAUGGCCAAGUCACUAUCAGGAGCAACCACAGGAGAGGCAGUGGCCAAACUGGCAACGGCAAGAACUAGAGAGACAAGAGUGAUCUUCAUUCUGUCAGUAAAAGAUGAACUUGAGGAAUAAAAGAUGAUAUAUGGAAAUUGUUGAUUGUUAUUUUGGCAAACUGAAGAAAGUGUUGAUGAAUUAUGAUUUUAAAAAAGC
Molecule: small RNA, 332 nt
Filed under: Histoplasma ohiense
Lineage: Eukaryota; Fungi; Ascomycota; Eurotiomycetes; Onygenales; Ajellomycetaceae
Description: hypothetical lncRNA
Source: RNAcentral